UUGACCAAAAAAGUCAUCAAGCCGGGACCGGACCGGACCAAACUGGUUCUAACCGAUUUCAAUUCCAAUUUCAGACCGCACCAAACUGGACCAGAUAGAACUAGACCGGUUGUGUAUAAUUUUUUUCUAAUACAAAAUUAUUUAAUCCAAUGCUACAUUUUUUAUUUUAUAACUAAUAUUUUUCCAAGUCCAACUUCAAAAC
This 202-nucleotide long non-coding RNA is filed under the name Prunus persica (peach). RNAcentral describes it as "long non-coding RNA (PPER_LNC000894)". The record is from RNAcentral. Lineage: Eukaryota; Viridiplantae; Streptophyta; Magnoliopsida; Rosales; Rosaceae.